AUGAACGCUGGCGGCGUGCCUAAUACAUGCAAGUCGAGCGAACGGACGAGAAGCUUGCUUCUCUGAUGUUAGCGGCGGACGGGUGAGUAACACGUGGAUAACCUACCUAUAAGACUGGGAUAACUUCGGGAAACCGGAGCUAAUACCGGAUAAUAUUUUGAACCGCAUGGUUCAAAAGUGAAAGACGGUCUUGCUGUCACUUAUAGAUGGAUCCGCGCUGCAUUAGCUAGUUGGUAAGGUAACGGCUUACCAAGGCAACGAUGCAUAGCCAACCUGAGAGGGUGAUCGGCCACACUGGAACUGAGACACGGUCCAGACUCCUACGGGAGGCAGCAGUAGGGAAUCUUCCGCAAUGGGCGAAAGCCUGACGGAGCAACGCCGCGUGAGUGAUGAAGGCCUUCGGAUCGUAAAACUCUGUUAUUAGGGAAGAACAUAUGUGUAAGUAACUGUGCACAUCUUGACGGUACCUAAUCAGAAAGCCUCGGCUAACUACGUG
Molecule: ribosomal RNA, 496 nt
Filed under: uncultured bacterium
Lineage: Bacteria
Description: partial 16S ribosomal RNA
Rfam family: Bacterial small subunit ribosomal RNA
Source: RNAcentral